Molecule: ribosomal RNA, 496 nt
Filed under: uncultured bacterium
Lineage: Bacteria
Description: partial 16S ribosomal RNA
Rfam family: Bacterial small subunit ribosomal RNA
Source: RNAcentral
GAUGAACGCUGGCGGCGUGCCUAAUACAUGCAAGUCGAGCGAACAGACGAGGAGCUUGCUCCUCUGACGUUAGCGGCGGACGGGUGAGUAACACGUGGAUAACCUACCUAUAAGACUGGGAUAACUUCGGGAAACCGGAGCUAAUACCGGAUAAUAUAUUGAACCGCAUGGUUCAAUAGUGAAAGACGGUUUUGCUGUCACUUAUAGAUGGAUCCGCGCCGCAUUAGCUAGUUGGUAAGGUAACGGCUUACCAAGGCGACGAUGCGUAGCCGACCUGGGAGGGUGAUCGGCCAAACUGGAACUGAGACACGGUCCAGACUCCUACGGGAGGCAGCAGUAGGGAAUCUUCCGCAAUGGGCGAAAGCCUGACGGAGCAACGCCGCGUGAGUGAUGAAGGUCUUCGGAUCGUAAAACUCUGUUAUUAGGGAAGAACAAAUGUGUAAGUAACUAUGCACGUCUUGACGGUACCUAAUCAGAAAGCCACGGCUAACUACGU